GAGAGAGAAACUGAGCUAGUCCCUUUCCCUGAAUAAGUGCCCCUCCACCCCAACUCCCUUCCCAAGCACUGCUCUGUGCUUCAGUAGUGCAAUCCCCUCCAGACCGCUUUCCAGUUUAUCAGCUUUAUUCACUGAGCUCUACGAAACUUUGCAGACUGAAGGGAGGAAAGAGAAGAAGGUGUUAAUUUCACUCUUAUUUCACCUCUGCAUCUCUGCUGAUUGCUUUUCCAAAGAAGCUAUUCCAAAUGACAUCAGUAUAAGGAAAAUCUGUUCAUUGCGCUCAAAAUUUUAGAGAAAGACAUGAGAAAUGAUGAAGAAGUGGAUGAUUGACAGAGAGUUCAGCUGAGUUUCAGUUUGGUGAGAGGAUGUCUAAUAUAGAGGGCACUCCAGGAGUGGGCCUAGCAGCCUUAGCUGGAUGAGGGGGUCCCAUGGAAGAGGAUUGCCUAACACAUGAUUCUGAACUUCAUCCUUACAGACCCGCGAAUGUGUUUCUCAACGACCUGGGGACCAUAUCCGAAAUGUCAUCAUCAAUGGAGAUGGCACCUACCUACCUCUCAGUUUCUGUGGGAGGGUAGCAGCCUAACUUUGGAAGGUCUUCGUGGACAAUAUGUCCAUGCAGCUGUGUCAUCUCCUAUAAUAACACCACCUCCUGCUGGAAUACCUCCUGAAGAACCUGCUUGAGGCUGUUUAAAAUGGUUAACUUUUUUUAUUUUUAAUAUAUAUGUAGAAGCAGACUCUAAAAUAAUGACAAAAGUAUGGUGUAGUAAAUGCAUAAACCAGAAACAUGGUCAUUUAUUAUCAGUAUUAAGUAUUAUGUACUGUAUAAAAUUGUACUGCUAUACUUUUAUACUACUACUAACACAGUAGGUUUGUUUACACCAGCAUCACCACAAACACAUAAGUAAUGCAUUGGGCUAGGACAUUAAGAUAGCUUGUCACCUAUUCUAUCAAUAUGUGAUAAAAAUUUUUCAGUUCCAUUUUAAUCUUAUGGAACCACUGCUGUCUAUGCGGCCUGUCGUUGACCCAAAUGUCAUUAUGUAGUGCAUAACUGUACUAAUACUAAGAAAAACUGAGUGUUUGUAUUUUAGAGUUAAGCACUGAUACGUUUACAAAUAAAAUAAUAUCUGACGUUUGUUUCAAAGGAAUCUGGAUAAGAGGAUAUGGUAAGAACAUAUAUGAAGUAAGAUUGACCAUGGGUUAAUAAUGUUUGAAGCUAAGUGGUAAAUAAUCUUUGUCCCAACCUUUGUGCAUAGUGGUUCUCAAAGAUGAUCCCUGCACUGGCAGCAACAGGAUCAUUUGAGAUCUUGUUUGAAAAGCAAACUCUGAGGAAACCACAUAUUUUGUAACCAAAACUCUGCACAUGAGGCCCAUUAGCCUGUGGUUUCACAAGCCCUUUAGGUAAUUUUGAUCCAAGCUAAUGUUUCUGAAUCACUGCUCCAGUAUAAAUAACAUAGAAUAUUGCAUGUAUUUGUAGAGACAUGACAUUUGUAUAUUUUUAAGUUAUCCAUAAUACAACGAAAAAUAAUGAAAA
Homo sapiens (human) is the source of this 1531-nucleotide long non-coding RNA. Ensembl annotates it as long intergenic non-protein coding RNA 2770. The record is from Ensembl. Lineage: Eukaryota; Metazoa; Chordata; Mammalia; Primates; Hominidae.